This 1047-nucleotide long non-coding RNA is filed under the name Olea europaea subsp. europaea. The record is from RNAcentral. Lineage: Eukaryota; Viridiplantae; Streptophyta; Magnoliopsida; Lamiales; Oleaceae.
GUUAGAUUUAGCAAUGUGACCUGUUACUACUGCAAAAGGAAGGGACAUAUCAGGAAGGAAUGCGAUAUAUUGCAGGCUAAAGGUGAUUUAGCUGCAAAUCGUAGGGUGCAACCUUUGAAUUUAACCAAUGUAGUUGAGAAUUGUUCAGCAAAGAGGUGAUGUUGACCGUGGUAUCUGAUGUAAAGUCUAGGCCUGACGAGAAGUGAAUUCUUGAUUUAGCAUGUUCGCACCAUAUGUGUUCCGAUAGGAAUUUAUUUCGGACAUAUGAGGUUGUUCAGCAAUGUGGAGUUGUAAUGGGAAAUCACUCUAGUCAGAUUGAGGCUGCGGGAUGGAACAUUUAGAACAAUUGAUUAUGUUCGAUAUGUUCCUGACCUGAAAAGAAAUCUCAUUUCGCUAAGUACCCUGGAUGCAAAAGGGUAUAAAAUUUCUGGAGGAGGUGGAGUCUUAAAUGUUUGAAAGGGAGUCCGAGUUGUGCUGGAGGGACGGAAAAGAUCCCAGUUGUACAUUUUGUAGGGGAGUGCAAAACCAGUUAAGAGGAGACAUUUGAACAAGUUUAGUACCGUGGUGGAAGUUUAGUUUGGUACAGUACCUCUUGUGUCGGGCUCUGAGUCGAUUAAGAACAGUUCUAGGGAGAGCGUUGGUGAUUCCGUUUUGCCACCAAUUUCAGCGAGUACACCGUAUUCAGUUGUUGGGGAAGGACUCAUCCAGCGCAGGUAUCGUGGUGUCAGCAAUGUCUAGGAUGCUUCUAGAGACGUUGAAGGCAACAGUUCCAAUAAGGGGCCUUCUGAUCAAGCAUCUGGUUUGGUUUUUGCUACAGGGUGUGCUUUAGCCCUGUAUGAUCAACAUUAAUUCCUUGGUGAAAUUGGAAACCCUGGGGAUUGGGUUUGGGUAUCAGUUGCAAAUGUCGAGCAGGGGACGAGUGUUUGGUUUAUAUUGAGUGGUUACCGUGUUGAGGAGAUUCGGUCAGUUAAUUUCGAUGCAAAUGAAUUUGAAAUCUAGGAGUUUCGUUUGUAGCACCGGAAUUUGAGUCAAGGUGGAGAUUGUUAG